CUCGUAGGUGGCCAACUAAGUCAGACGUGAAAUCCCUCGGCUUAACCGGGGAACUGCGUCUGAUACUGGAUGGCUUGAGUUUGGGAGAGGGACGCGGAAUUCCAGGUGUAGCGGUGAAAUGCGUAGAUAUCUGGAGGAACACCGGUGGCGAAGGCGGCGUCCUGGCCAACACUGACACUGAUGAGCGAAAGCCAGGGGGAGCAAAACGG
Molecule: ribosomal RNA, 209 nt
Filed under: uncultured bacterium
Lineage: Bacteria
Description: partial 16S ribosomal RNA
Rfam family: Bacterial small subunit ribosomal RNA
Source: RNAcentral